Molecule: ribosomal RNA, 925 nt
Filed under: Plasmodium inui
Lineage: Eukaryota; Apicomplexa; Aconoidasida; Haemosporida; Plasmodiidae
Description: SSU rRNA
Rfam family: Eukaryotic small subunit ribosomal RNA
Source: RNAcentral
UUCUUGAGUGUGUACUUGUUAAGCCUUUUAAGAAAAAAGUUAUUAACUUAAGGAAUUAUAACAAAGAAGCAACACGUAAAUGGAUUUUCCAUUUUUUAGUGUGUAUCAAUCGAGUUUCUGACCUAUCAGCUUUUGAUGUUAGGGUAUUGGCCUAACAUGGCUAUGACGGGUAACGGGGAAUUAGAGUUCGAUUCCGGAGAGGGAGCCUGAGAAAUAGCUACCACAUCUAAGGAAGGCAGCAGGCGCGUAAAUUACCCAAUUCUAAAGAAGAGAGGUAGUGACAAGAAAUAACAAUACAAGGCCAAUCUGGCUUUGUAAUUGGAAUGAUGGGAAUUUAAAACCUUCCCAAAACUCAAUUGGAGGGCAAGUCUGGUGCCAGCAGCCGCGGUAAUUCCAGCUCCAAUAGCGUAUAUUAAAAUUGUUGCAGUUAAAACGCUCGUAGUUGAAUUUCAAAGAAUCGAUAUUUUAAGUAACGCUUUGUAGAUUAAUCCACAUAACUGAUACUACGUAUCGACUUUGUGCGCAUUUUUCUACUUAUGUGUUCUUUUAAUUAAAAUGAUUCUUUUUAAGAUCUUUCCUUUUUGCUUCGGCAUUUUAGGAGAUCUUGUUACUUUGAGUAAAUUAGAGUGUUCAAAGCAAACAGAUUAUAGCAUCUUUAUGCGUUUGAAUACUACAGCAUGGAAUAACAAAAUUGAACAAGUCAGAAUUUUGUUCUUUUUUCUUAUUUUGGCUUAGUUACGAUUAAUAGGAGUAGCUUGGGGGCAUUUGUAUUCAGAUGUCAGAGGUGAAAUUCUUAGAUUUUCUGGAGACAAACAACUGCGAAAGCAUUUGCCUAAAAUACUUCCAUUAAUCAAGAACGAAAGUUAAGGGAGUGAAGACGAUCAGAUACCGUCGUAAUCUUAACCAUAAACUAUGCCGACUAGGC